AUGAACUUGAGGUCAGUGGCAGAGAGGUUAAGUCAGGCCAGUGCAGGGAUCCCUGACAGAGAGUGAAGAAAGGAAAAGGGUGGAUGUGAGAGUUGGGGUAUAGCUGGAGGACUUCUGCCAUGUUAAGAUGUUGCUGUUGGAAUAGAAGAGGAAAAAGUGGACAUUCCUUUCCCUUCUAAACCCUCAGCAAACUCCGAAGAGUCAGAUUGCAAUGUUCUGCCACAGGUGGGGCUGAAGGUCUGCUCUAAGGGCAGGUGUCAUGGGUGGUUUUAGUAGGGAUGCAAUCUGCGGAGGGUUCGAGUUGGUAAGGAAAGUGUGUGGUAGCUGGAGAGCUGGGGCCACAAACAGUAUUGCUGGGGAUCACUGAACACUUAGACCCAAGGUUGGAUGGAAUGAUGGUCAAGCAGGGUGUCUUAGUCCACUUUCUGUUGUUACAAUGGACUUUAUUUGGCUCUGAAAGGUGGGAAGUUCAAGGCCAGGUGGCUGUAUCUGAUGAGGUCCUUCUUACUGGUGAGGACUCUGCAGAGUCCUGAGGCAAUAUUGGGCAUCAAGUGGCAGUACAGAGCUUCCUUGCUCAGGUUUCUCCUCCUCCUCCUCCUCCUCCUCCUCCUCCUCCAACAAAGCACUAAUACGGUCCUGGGGCCCUCGUGAUGGCAUCUAAUCCUGUUACCUCCCACGGGUCCCACAUUCAAAUUCCAUUAACACAUGACUUUGGGGAUUGUUUGCAAACCUGAAAUUUGGGAGAUACUGUAGCACAGGGACAAGGAUGGGUGGUCCACGGGCUGGAUACCCAAGGAGAGCUGGAUGAUGGAGACAAAUUAGUGGAUGUGGCAAUUCCUAGUCACUGGACAGCACUUGCCACUAGAGUCAACCACAACCUGAAGUAGUCUGCCACUUUCCUCAUUCAGAACAUUAU
This 916-nucleotide long non-coding RNA is filed under the name Marmota monax (woodchuck). The record is from RNAcentral. Lineage: Eukaryota; Metazoa; Chordata; Mammalia; Rodentia; Sciuridae.